This is a non-coding RNA of Acanthosepion pharaonis, 113 nucleotides long. The record is from the annotation of a GenBank genome assembly. Lineage: Eukaryota; Metazoa; Mollusca; Cephalopoda; Sepiida; Sepiidae.
UACGGCUACAUCACGUGGAAACAUCGGUUCCCGCACGAUCACCGAAGUUAAGCAAACUUCCAACCUGGUCAGCACCUAGAUGGGUGACCGUUUAGGAAUACCAGGUGCUAUAA